This 29-nucleotide non-coding RNA is filed under the name Homo sapiens (human). Lineage: Eukaryota; Metazoa; Chordata; Mammalia; Primates; Hominidae. The record is from RNAcentral.
UCCAACCCCANUUCUCCAGGCUUUGCUGA